UCUAGAAAGAUGCUGGCGGCAGGCUUAACACAUGCAAGUCGAACGCUGUAGCAAUACAGAGUGGCAGACGGGUGAGUAACGCGUGGGAACGUGCCCUUCGGUUCGGAAUAACUCAGGGAAACUUGAGCUAAUACCGGAUACGUGCGAGAGCAGAAAGAUUUAUCGCCGAAGGAUCGGCCCGCGUCCGAUUAGCUAGUUGGUGAGGUAAUGGCUCACCAAGGCGACGAUCGGUAGCUGGUCUGAGAGGAUGAUCAGCCACAUUGGGACUGAGACACGGCCCAAACUCCUACGGGAGGCAGCAGUGGGGAAUAUUGGACAAUGGGCGCAAGCCUGAUCCAGCCAUGCCGCGUGAGUGAUGAAGGCCUUAGGGUUGUAAAGCUCUUUCGCCAGGGACGAUAAUGACGGUACCUGGAUAAGAAGCCCCGGCUAACUUCGUGCCAGCAGCCGCGGUAAUACGAAGGGGGCUAGCGUUGUUCGGAUUUACUGGGCGUAAAGCGCACGUAGGCGGAUCUUUAAGUCAGGGGUGAAAUCCCGAGGCUCAACCUCGGAACUGCCUUUGAUACUGGAGGUCUCGAGUCCGGGAGAGGUGAGUGGAACUGCGAGUGUAGAGGUGAAAUUCGUAGAUAUUCGCAAGAACACCAGUGGCGAAGGCGGCUCACUGGCCCGGUACUGACGCUGAGGUGCGAAAGCGUGGGGAGCAAACAGGAUUAGAUACCCUGGUAGUCCACGCCGUAAACGAUGGAUGCUAGCCGUUGGGGAGCUUGCUCUUCAGUGGCGCAGCUAACGCUUUAAGCAUCCCGCCUGGGGAGUACGGUCGCAAGAUUAAA
RNAcentral lists this ribosomal RNA (827 nucleotides) under uncultured bacterium. RNAcentral describes it as "bacterial SSU rRNA". It matches the Rfam family "Bacterial small subunit ribosomal RNA", at positions 23 to 898 of the family's 1533-position model. The record is from RNAcentral.